CUCAUCCUACCAGGGGCUCCUCGGAGUGGAGAGCCUCGGGCAGGGCCCACCAGUGUUCUCCAAACUCCGGUCCACUUGUUCCUUGGCAGGCGGUCAGGGUUUUCGGCGCCAGAGGGUGGGGCAAGAGAGGCUCUGAGGUUCAGAGGGACACACCUGAGAAGACUUUGGCCACUGCGUCCCAAGGAAUGAACCCAUCAGGUCCCGAGGAUCCCUGGGUCCCCUGACCUCAGCAUUCCCUGAACAGAGAGCGGCCACUGGACUCAGGCCCACAUGGAAACAGGAGCUCCGAGGGCUCGAGCCAGGGCCAGCUACCCUGCUACGUCUGCCCACAGGACUCCCGGAUGUGCCAGCCCCAGCCCGAGCCUCCCGCCCCAUCCUGACUGCAGGGAGCCUGAUCUCUCCAGAGGAAGCCUGGCUUCGGCCUUUGUUCAAUGGGCCUGUGACAGCAGCUGCCUUCUCAAUGCUUCUCUUGUCAUCUGCGUCAGACCUGGGUGCCCCCCGGCCCCCCGUGUGGAGUUCUCCCUGAAGACCGCCCGGCAGGAGGGAAAGGAUUGCCACCUGGGGCUCGGGCUAGGAGGAAGGCUCCUGUGGCACCUUCCAGAGUCAGGAACCCUACCCCGGCUUCUACCUCGUCCUCUAAACCGCAGCGCCUUCCACUAUAGGUGAACGCCUGUUUCCGGCAGGGACCACGCGGACAGAGGAGUGUGUUCCCUCCUCGGAAGACCAGUGUCCUAGUCCUCGGGAGCAAGACGGCCGCUGUCCGGCCAGCCCCGUGCUUCCUCCGUGUCCUUGUUCUCAACCUCAAGCUUCCGACCUAUUAAUUCCCCCCGCUCUGCGAAGCCCCGGUCUCCCCCAGAACACAACAAACAAGAGCAAACGUAUUGUCCUCGCCCUCUGACCUGGCCGGUGCUGGGGUGUCCGAGCCAUAGCCCCUGAAGGAGGGAGGUGAGCUGGCGGACGGCGACCCCGCUGGGAGCCUCCCUUUGUCUCCAGGUCCUUUUCAUCCUUCCUGGGCCCGGGUUCCCCGCGCUGGGCCCAGGAAAGGUUAAACCGGUUGGGCAGUCUCUCCCCCUUCAACCCCCAACAGCAUCUAAACUGGGCAACUUGGUGGCAGGAACAAAGCCGGUGUUUGUUGGGCUUCCCUCCUGCCUGGGAGGCUGUUCUCGGACCACGGCAUUCCUGGCUCGGACGGAGGCAACUCAGGGCCGCUGCUCCGGCAGCCAGAACCACGGCCUUGCCACAGGCCGAGGGCACAGGUCGAGGGCUGCAGGUGCACGGAACUAAAACGAAUUCAAGUUAAGAGAAGCUAGUUCUUGGGGCGCCUGGCUGGCUCAGUCGGGGAGCACGCGGCUCGAACUCGCGACCCCGAGAUCAGCAGCUGAUCCGGGGAGAGAUUAAACAAUUUAAAGGAAAAAAAGAAAAGCUAGUUGUUAAACAGAGGAAGUGCUAGAAGCAGGUGUCGAGAGAUAGUUCUUUCGGUAGGUAGGUCAGUGAACAAAUCAAGACCAGAAGCUCUCACCGGGCGUCGAGGCCCUUCCUCUCCUGCUGCGUCCUCCUGCCGUGGAGGCCGCAGCGAGGACGGGUCAGGGCGGCGGGAGCGGCGCGGCGAAAGCGGAGGGGAAGGGGUGACGCGGGCAGGGUGUCCGGUGGGGACAGACGUCCGCACAGACAGA
Molecule: long non-coding RNA, 1673 nt
Organism: Mustela lutreola (European mink)
Lineage: Eukaryota; Metazoa; Chordata; Mammalia; Carnivora; Mustelidae
Exons: 3
Source: RefSeq, a predicted model, not a curated record